Pocillopora verrucosa is the source of this 574-nucleotide long non-coding RNA. RefSeq lists it as uncharacterized. The record is from RefSeq and is a predicted model, not a curated record. Lineage: Eukaryota; Metazoa; Cnidaria; Anthozoa; Scleractinia; Pocilloporidae.
GAUAUUGUUUUCGUGAAAAGUCAUUCACAGCUUGUUCGUGGUAUCUAAAUGAGCCUACAUCCGUUUGCUUAUCAUUGAGUGCUUGGUGGGCUUAAAUGAAAGAGAUUUUGCGAGCAGUACUCCACAAGCCGAUUUUACAACAAACCGGCGGUUCAAAGGACGGUUGGAAACUCCCAAAAGAAUUGACGCCGUGAAAGCAAACUAUGGCUGCAGCAUUUGUUACUGUUCUGUUGAUUAUGUUAGUUGCUGGUGAAUAUAUUGAUGAAAUUGACGGCUUGCUCCGCGCUGGCAGAGAUCGAAUCGAGAAGGAGUCACGUGACGAUUAUAUGCACAAAAGAGAGGCUGCUGAUAUGCGCGAAUAUCGACUUCCUUUUUACUCAAGAAGAAGCAGAAUCCAAAAUUCUGAGGAGUGACCUUCAAACUCACAGACGUUUCUUAAGCCGAUCUUUUAUAACCUAAAUAUGUGAUUAGUACCUAAAAUACGAGCAUUGUAAAGAAUAAAAGGAUCUUCAUCAUAAGAGUUACUUUAUAAUUGAAGAACUAUACUGAACAAUAUAAUUUCUGCAGAUUUAAA